CACGUAGGGGGCAAGCGUUGUCCGGAUUUAUUGGGCGUAAAGAGCUCGUAGGUGGUUCGGUAAGUCGGGUGUUAAACCCCCAGGCUCAACCUGGGGACGCCACUCGAUACUGCUGUGACUAGAGUCCGGUAGGGGAGCGUGGAAUUCCUGGUGUAGCGGUGAAAUGCGUAGAUAUCACUCGGAAGGCCAAAGGCGAAGGCAGGUUACUGGUACGCAACUGACGCUGAGGCACGAAAGCGUGGGGAGCAAACAGG
This 254-nucleotide ribosomal RNA is filed under the name uncultured bacterium. RNAcentral's name for it is "partial 16S ribosomal RNA". It matches the Rfam family "Bacterial small subunit ribosomal RNA", at positions 524 to 776 of the family's 1533-position model. The record is from RNAcentral.